RNAcentral lists this transfer RNA (64 nucleotides) under Caulobothrium sp. LRP 10376. RNAcentral describes it as "tRNA-Thr". It matches the Rfam family "tRNA". From Rfam's summary of the family: Transfer RNA (tRNA) molecules are approximately 80 nucleotides in length. The record is from RNAcentral. Lineage: Eukaryota; Metazoa; Platyhelminthes; Cestoda; Tetraphyllidea.
GGUUAAUUAGUUUAAUGUAAAAUGCAGGUUUUGUAAGUCUGUGAUAAUUUUUUAUUAUUAACCU